Molecule: small RNA, 126 nt
Filed under: Marmota monax (woodchuck)
Lineage: Eukaryota; Metazoa; Chordata; Mammalia; Rodentia; Sciuridae
Source: RNAcentral
GCUGGGUGGGGAGGCACAUGCCUGUAAUCCCUGCUACUUGAGAGGCUGAGGCAGGAGGAUUGCAAGUUUGAGGCUAACCUCGGAUCUUAGCAAGACCCUCAGCCACUUAGCAAGACUCUGUCUCAA